This is a long non-coding RNA of Malaya genurostris, 1336 nucleotides long. RefSeq lists it as uncharacterized. The transcript is spliced from 3 exons. The record is from RefSeq and is a predicted model, not a curated record. Lineage: Eukaryota; Metazoa; Arthropoda; Insecta; Diptera; Culicidae.
UGAUCUAUGUCUGAAAACGUUGAACUUCCGCCCUUUUUCAAAUGGGGUACAAUUGAAUAAACUGCAUCAGAAUCAGAUGAGAGAAAUUCUUAUGAUAUACUAUUAUCAAUGCUAAAAAUCAAAUUACUGAAAAAAUUGUCAGUGUAUAACUUAAGUUAAACCGUUUGAAGGCAUCUUUUUCUUUUUUACUCAUAUUAGCAAAAUUUAUUAAUUUCGCUAAUUUACUCGCUCCUCCGUGCACUUUUGCUGAUCACAACAGAAAUGAUUCCCUGCAUCAUUCAUUUCCGAAUUUACAAGAAGAAGCGUUUACUUCAACAAAUACACGUUUUUCUAUAGAAUGUAAACGUUUAUUGUGGAGAUUUUUUCAGGAAAUAGGGCAAAGCAGUAAUAUAAUUAGGUAUUUCAAAAACGCGCUCAUUGAAAAUUUUUGGACGUCACAUUCCAAAAACCUCCCCCCCUUCCCCCUGUCACAAAAGGUCACGUUUUAUGAAACACCCCCCUCCCCCUUGCGGCGUGACGUCUUUUAUGGACAGCCCCUAAGGUGCGUUACGCUUCAAUGUUAACAGAAUAACUUCAUGAUACGGUGGCCUCCAUUCAUGAUGUAUUAGCAUAACUCUCUUUACAUUGUGAUUCAAAUAAAAAUAUUGUGCGCUCAAUUUUUUUAGAAAUGGCUUAACCGAUGUUCACAGGGAUGUAUUUUUAAAAGUGAUAAUAUAAAAAGAAGGGGAAUCCGAAACUAGUGAGUAAAUUAUUUUAUAAUUAAUUUGUUCAAGGGAGGGUGGGGAGGCUUUUCAAUUUGAAAGAAAAGUGCGUCAUCCACAAUAUUGACGCUGUAAAACAAAUUCUGAGAACGAGGUUGAAAAUAUAAAUCACUAAACCCCCUCCACCACCCUGCGCACGGGCCUGUCUGGGCUAGGUGUUAGCUACAAUGGGUUUCAGGAUGAUGAGCGUAUAAGCAGUGAGAACUAUAGUAACGGGAUGAUUAGCAGAGAUUAGUGAGGGAAGGCAGAUGUUUUGGAUAGAAAUAGCGAACAGAUUUCAACAAACUUACAAUCAAAUGGUAAGGUGUUAUAACUCCAUCAGUUGAUUUUAAAUUUCAACCGGAUCUGGCUUCCGAUAAUUACAAGAUAUAAAUAACAAAACAUCAAUCUGCUAUUUAAAUGAUGGCCCAUUAGUAGGGGAUAAAAACUCCUUCCAGCCAUACCGAAUUAGCACAUCAGAAAAAUGUAAACGGAAACUCCGAAAUAAAAUUACCAUACAUCAUACAUCAAUUUCUAAUCAUUACACCUCUAGAACGAGUCUUUUAUUUGUAAAUUGUAAAGUUGCAAGGAAUGUG